RNAcentral lists this non-coding RNA (30 nucleotides) under Mus musculus (house mouse). Lineage: Eukaryota; Metazoa; Chordata; Mammalia; Rodentia; Muridae. The record is from RNAcentral.
UUUUAGGAUGCAAUGAUGCAAUGAAGGUGA